Molecule: long non-coding RNA, 654 nt
Filed under: Anser brachyrhynchus (Pink-footed goose)
Lineage: Eukaryota; Metazoa; Chordata; Aves; Anseriformes; Anatidae
Description: lncRNA (ENSABRG00000000289.1)
Source: RNAcentral
UGAUCUUGAAAUAAUGUUAAGGAAACAUAGUUGACAGAAGCUGAGAAAAGAAGAGAGAUUCAGGUUGAGGUUGGCAUUCCAUCACUAAGACAUCAUAUUGCUCUAUGAAGAAUAACAAAAAUGCAGAAAUUCAGUUAAGGGAAAUCGGUUUCUUUAUUUUGGAUUCCCAUUCUCACAAGACUUGCUUUUACAAAACCAAAGAUACAAGCCAGUUGAGUAGAAGUUAGAAACUGAACUAGUUACUAAGGAUGGUAUUCUGAGAUUCUGACUUCAUCAAUGAACCUGCUCAUGGAGUAUCCACGUGAAGUCACGGGCUGCAGAUACCAAGAAAUUUUCAGCAGGCAUGAGUGUAUUUGAGAGGCCCGUAAUAGAUCAGGAUGAAGGAGGUGGACAAGCCUACUGAAUGAGCUGAGCCUCAACCAAGUCCUUGACAGAGCGCCCCAGUCACUGGCUACCUCCCUUCUUCCACAAAAGCCUUCAUCCACUUUUUCCCUUUCCUCACCAAAGCCCAUCCUGCAGCCACUUCCUUCUGGCAGUGCUCGAAAGGACAAAAGAAAGGAAGAGAGAAAGGAAGAAAGAAAAGAAGAGAGAAAGGAAGAAAGAAAGGAAGAAAGGAAGAAAGGAAGAAAGGAAAGAAAGGAAGGGAAGGGAAGG